Molecule: long non-coding RNA, 218 nt
Filed under: Lathyrus oleraceus (garden pea)
Lineage: Eukaryota; Viridiplantae; Streptophyta; Magnoliopsida; Fabales; Fabaceae
Description: Pisum sativum (pea) long non-coding RNA (PSAT_LNC031402)
Source: RNAcentral
AAGGAAUGGUCUUACGACCAGAGAUUACAAGGUACGGGAGUCGGUUACGCAAGGGGAAGGUGUUAGCACCCCUCACGUCCGUCGUACUCGACGGGAUCCACGCUUGGAAGAUAGCUCAAAGGAAAGGAAAUAGGUUGCUAAUAAACUGCUCAAAGAAAUUGCACAAACUGGAAUAAUAAACAGGUGAAAGAGGAAAACGGAGGAAAUGGACUCGGCAG